RNAcentral lists this ribosomal RNA (427 nucleotides) under uncultured Halomonas sp. Its description in RNAcentral is "bacterial SSU rRNA". It matches the Rfam family "Bacterial small subunit ribosomal RNA", at positions 355 to 774 of the family's 1533-position model. Lineage: Bacteria; Pseudomonadati; Pseudomonadota; Gammaproteobacteria; Oceanospirillales; Halomonadaceae. The record is from RNAcentral.
UGGGGAAUAUUGGACAAUGGGGGCAACCCUGAUCCAGCCAUGCCGCGUGUGUGAAGAAGGCCCUCGGGUUGUAAAGCACUUUCAGCGAGGAAGAACGCCUAGUGGUUAAUACCCAUUAGGAAAGACAUCACUCGCAGAAGAAGCACCGGCUAACUCCGUGCCAGCAGCCGCGGUAAUACGGAGGGUGCAAGCGUUAAUCGGAAUUACUGGGCGUAAAGCGCGCGUAGGUGGCUUGAUAAGCCGGUUGUGAAAGCCCCGGGCUCAACCUGGGAACGGCAUCCGGAACUGUCAGGCUAGAGUGCAGGAGAGGAAGGUAGAAUUCCCGGUGUAGCGGUGAAAUGCGUAGAGAUCGGGAGGAAUACCAGUGGCGAAGGCGGCCUUCUGGACUGACACUGACACUGAGGUGCGAAAGCGUGGGUAGCAAACA